AUCCGGGCCGGGGAAUUCAGUUCGGCCGCGGCAUUCCGUGUCGAGUCGUUCGCCAUUUCCCCGGUCAAUGAAACACGGACGUCGCGACCUGUUCGUCGUCGGUCGAGGAGUCGCGAUCGAGUUCGUUGUAUUCGGGCGUUUACGCGUCCGGUGCGGCGAAGUCGCGAAUUUCCGGCCGACCGGCGGACAGUAUGCCAACAGUGACCGGGUGCUGCUUCGCGGUACUCGGUGCUGGUCGGCGACGAAUUCUUCGGGUCUCUUUCCGACCCGUCUUGAAACACGGACCAAGGAGUCUAACGCGCGCGCGAGUCGCGGGGUGUCGAGCGUACUUCGGUGCGCUCGUUACAACGCGAAACCCGUAUACGUUGAAGGCGUAAUGAAAGUGAACGGGGAAGAUGACGUCUCGAGUACACGUUCCACGGUCGUUGGUACUGUGGCCGAGCGUCCGCAUUCCCGGGGCAUCUCAUCAGUCCAUCGCGAACGCGGAUAGUCGUCUUUCGGGGCGGCUGUCGGUUUGCGAUGAACCGA
Molecule: ribosomal RNA, 528 nt
Filed under: Comstockiella sabalis
Lineage: Eukaryota; Metazoa; Arthropoda; Insecta; Hemiptera; Diaspididae
Description: partial 28S ribosomal RNA
Source: RNAcentral